RNAcentral lists this ribosomal RNA (301 nucleotides) under uncultured bacterium. Its description in RNAcentral is "partial 16S ribosomal RNA". It matches the Rfam family "Bacterial small subunit ribosomal RNA", at positions 509 to 807 of the family's 1533-position model. The record is from RNAcentral.
CAGUAGCCGCGGGAAUACGGAGGGAGCUAGCGUUGUUCGGAAUUACUGGGCGUAAAGCGCACGUAGGCGGUUAUUCAAGUCAGAGGUGAAAGCCCGGGGCUCAACCCCGGAACUGCCUUCGAAACUAGAUGACUGGAAUCUUGGAGAGGUCAGUGGAAUUCCGAGUGUAGAGGUGAAAUUCGUAGAUAUUCGGAAGAACACCAGUGGCGAAGGCGACUGACCGGACAAGUAUUGACGCUGAGGUGCGAAAGCGUGGGGAGCAAACAGGAUUAGAGACCCCGGUAGUCCCUGUCUCUUAUAC